UUUCAGCUGACAAGUCUUUCCUUUCACAAUGUAUUUGUGCAGACUUGGGGGUGUCCCUGUAUCCAGAGUCUCUUUAUUUAUUCCUAAUUUAGUGCAAGUUAUGUACUGUAGCUUUGUGCUUUGUCUAAGAGCCCUAAGAAAACUGCUCACCAAGUAAUGAAGGCCAGCUGCCAACAUUUAAAGAAGAGUCUCAUCAGCGAAUCCAGAAGCCGAGAGUUGGGGGCAGCCUGUGUGGAGUAAGAUUUCCUCAUCGUGACGAUGUCCUGGGCCCAUUUAUGGCAGAUUUGUUUAAUAGAAUAACAAUUUCAUUGCAGCAGCAGAAUGGUGUAAAACCAGCCAAGAGGUUUGGGGAGCUCUGGCCUACGCAGGUGAUGUUCAGUAGUAGAUUCAGUAGUGUGUGUGGCACCUUCAGGGUAGAAAUGCAUGCCUCAACUGGAGAAAUGAUUGUGUAGGCCAAAUUCCUCCAUUUAUUGAGCAAACUGCUUGAGUUCAUCUGCUCUUACAAUGUGGCCUAGGUGCUGGCAUCUGAUAGGGCCCUAAAAUCUACCAGGUGUUGUUGCCCCACAGCAGGGUACAUUUGGACGAGGCACUUGCUUUUCUGCAAGUGGACACUGCAGCUCUGUGAAAUAUUUGAUUAUUGGGGGUCCAGGUUAAGCCACCAUCAGGCAUGCGCCAACUAACUAGCAAGCAACUAGAGGGGGCAGGCCCUGGUGCGGGAUGCGCAGCCGGGACCCCCCGUACGCCCGGAACCGCCCAGAAUAAGUGGCGCAAGAGCUGCCGGGGGGGCCUGGAGGGGGUGCGGGCCCUGGCCCAAUUGCACCCCCUGCUCCCCUGGUAGUUACGCCACUGCUAGCAAGGCCCCCAUUCCUUACCAGGGCUAAAGCAUUUGCAUACCAGUUCUUGGCCCAAAUAACAUCUAGCUGCCUAAACCACAUCUUUAGAAGCAUGAUCAGUGCUUUUAACAAUUUUGGCAAAAAAAUAAUUUUUGCAACCUGGCAGAAACAAUGGUAGACUUGAGUUGAAGUUUCAUUUUCAAGGACUGGAUUAUUUGAGUUAAAUUCAGUUCUGUGUAUUUCUUUCGGUCCCUUUAAACAGCAAUACCAAUAUUUGAGAAGGAGAGCCACUGUGGUUGUUGUCCAUGCUGCUGGUCCCUAAUAUUCCUGGAGUCUAUGGUGGACACCACAGAUUUCACCCAGUUGACCCUUAGGCAUUGGAAACUCCCAAAUGUUGUGACCUUUGUGAGGAGUGCAGAUGGAGAGUCUAACAGUAGUAGGAAUAUCAUCAUAUAAUCUGUAUAAAGCCACAUUUUCUCCUCCAGUCUCUGUAUUUUGAGCCCCUCUAUCCUUGUUUUUUUUGUAUUCAUAAAGCUAGGGCAAAGAUUGGGGAGAUAAGGGGCACCCCUGUCUAGUGCCCCUGAACUCCUGAAACAUCUCUUCAUUCAAUAGUAUUGUGGCUCUCGGGCAGUCAUUAAUGGCUUUCACCCACAGAAUAUAUUGGUCGCACACAUACAGUGUGUGGCCAAUAGAUGCUCUUAAUUUGGUGGCAAUGGCCCUGUAAGGCAUAAACCCAGUCUGAUCAGGGAGAAUGAAGUUCUCAAAGACCACUUUGAGUCUGUUUGUGAGGACCUUGGGCAGCACCUUGACAUCUGAGUUUGAAAACAAAAUGGGUCUUUAUGAUUUUCCCUGUUUUGAGAAUAUGUGUGAUCAUGGCUAGUUUAGAGCUGUCAGGUAAGACUUACCCCCUGUGGCAUAGAAUUGAAAAGGGAACAGAGCCUGGGCACUACUAGGACUUUGUAUUAUUUAAUGUGGGGGGACUUUCCAUUGGGGAGCAUAUAUAUGGCUUCAGUGAUCUCUUCAGGAGUGAUCUGCCUAUUGAGAUCUCAAGAUUCAGUCUGGGAAUCGGAAUGUCAUUUAGGUACUGACAAAGGGACUCCAAGGUGCAUUGAAUUUUUCAUCAGUACAUAUUGGAAUAGAAUUUGAGAAAUUGGGAAGGAAUCUGGUCCUGAGCAGGGACAGGAGUUUAUCACUUUUAUCCUGACAGGUAUGCACUUUAUCUUUAAAUUAAUGAUACAUAAACUUUGCUGUCGCUGCCCCCCACAGACCCUGGAUAUUGUGUGCCCCCAAACAAGAUCCUGAACCCGCUGUGCUGGUUAUUAAAGGGAUACUGUCAUGGGAAAAAAAAUUUUU
Molecule: long non-coding RNA, 2186 nt
Organism: Xenopus laevis (African clawed frog)
Lineage: Eukaryota; Metazoa; Chordata; Amphibia; Anura; Pipidae
Exons: 3
Source: RefSeq, a predicted model, not a curated record